RNAcentral lists this long non-coding RNA (208 nucleotides) under Elaeis guineensis (African oil palm). Its description in RNAcentral is "long non-coding RNA (EGUI_LNC062282)". The record is from RNAcentral. Lineage: Eukaryota; Viridiplantae; Streptophyta; Magnoliopsida; Arecales; Arecaceae.
GUCCUUACAUGGAAGUGUUGCAUGCAUGAAAGAGAUUCUUCAUGCCACCCAUAUGAAUUUAGUUGCAAAAUUUAUAAGCGUGGUAAAAGAAAAGUCUUUCUUUUACACACUAUUAAUAUAUGAUAUCUAUGGGUGUGGAAGAGGAUUUUUCUACACUUGGGACUCCACCACACUAUUUAUUCUUCCAUAAGGAUUCAUUUUUUCAUGU